GACAGAGGGGGCAAGCGUUGCUCGGAAUUACUGGGCGUAAAGGGCGCGUAGGCGGGAUGGCAAGUCGGUCGUGAAAUCCCUCGGCUCAACCGAGGAACGUCGAUCGAUACUGCUGUUCUUGAGGAUUGCAGAGGAGACUGGAAUUCCCGGUGUAGCGGUGAAAUGUGUAGAGAUCGGGAGGAAGGCCGGUGGCGAAGGCGGCGCUCUGGACUAUAACUGACACUGAUGUUCGAAAGCGUGGGUAGCAAACAGG
This 253-nucleotide ribosomal RNA is filed under the name uncultured prokaryote. RNAcentral describes it as "partial 16S ribosomal RNA". It matches the Rfam family "Bacterial small subunit ribosomal RNA", at positions 524 to 776 of the family's 1533-position model. The record is from RNAcentral.